ACGAGGAAGAAGGAGUGGGGAGUUAAUGGUGUCGAGCAGCUGACAGUGGACUGUAUGUGUCAUUAGUGUCGUGUUUUAUCACUAACGGACUGUGAACUGUUGUUGGACGCUGUGCUCUGAGUGUGUGAGUUGGACUCUCCAUCGCAGUCGAAGUGUUUGUGUUUUAUUGGACACAAAGCAAGUUUGGCCAAGCUAGCUAGCAGGAGCUAGGCUAGCGGCACGGCCAUUGUUGAGAGGAGGCCUGCGCUGACGGGAAGAGCUUUGCCGGGUCGCCACGGACAGUGUCGCAGACGGACGGCUCUUCGCUGCCGCAGAGGGAGGUUUAUCGCUGCGAGCAUUUUGUUUUCACAGACUAACCUCGCCUCACAACAAGGCCGUGACCUCCCCUUAGCUCGGAGCUAUGUCUGCAAGUCCAGAUUUACAUGAUGCCGAUAAUGAUGUCAUUGUGUCUGUCUGUAAGACCUUUCAAGACAGUACGCAGGACAACAAACAACCAGAUUCUGCAUUGCAGGCAGAAGCUGUGAGGAGUUCAGCUUGGAGUCGAUCGAGAACAAAGAGGAUAAGACUUAUUAGAUUAGAGCCGUUUUUGGUCAAUGUGACAAUUAUUCGGGCACAUUAAUAGAUGUGUUGUGUCCAUGCGCAGUGCGUUGCACAGUACUGAUCGUCCUUAUGGAUUAUUUUUACCGCUGCUGGAAGGGAGACAGAGUGCUAGCUGAGGAUGAGAUGGACCUUUGGAAGCGCGGCGCCAUAGACCUGAUAUCUGAGGAGGAAGACGGCACAAGAUGGCGGGGUGUCUGGAUGGAUUGUGCAACCUCCGUCCUUUCGUAGCUGGGAGCUCACCGAGCUCUGCGCCACACUGCAGACACAUGAGAGGCGAUUCCAAAAUACAGGGCAGCGCACCACAGACGUCUGCAAAAACAGACACUUGCUUUAGGAUUUUGGGCUUCUCAUGAGCCUCCCGUUUCUUUGAAUAAACACCUUCCUGGCAAA
Molecule: long non-coding RNA, 990 nt
Organism: Acanthopagrus latus (yellowfin seabream)
Lineage: Eukaryota; Metazoa; Chordata; Actinopteri; Spariformes; Sparidae
Exons: 2
Source: RefSeq, a predicted model, not a curated record